This is an RNA transcript of Centruroides sculpturatus (bark scorpion), 912 nucleotides long. RefSeq lists it as uncharacterized. The transcript has 2 exons. NCBI's taxonomy places the organism in Eukaryota, Metazoa, Arthropoda, Arachnida, Scorpiones, Buthidae. The record is from RefSeq and is a predicted model, not a curated record.
UUAUCGUCUGCUGUAAGAAUUUUUUAAGGUACAGUAUAUUUAAUCAAUUUUUUUUUUUAAAUGUAUAGCAUUAGCGUCAAUUUAACAUUGUGGCAAGUGUUGAAUGUUUGUAUACACGUUCAAUUAUUUCUUCGCUAUAACAGAAGGAUGAAAUCGCGGUUAUUUGACUGUUUGAUACUUUUAUUUUAUAUUACGUUUGCCAUCGUGGCAACGGAUCUCGUCUACUUCGGAUUUGAGCAAGAAGAGUGCAAUGAAACGUUAGCUAAUAUAUUUUCAAUAUUAAUCGUUUCUGGCGUCUGCUGGUCUUUUCUAGAUGCAUUUACAUUCUACGAUAAAGAAGAACGUCGUUGCUCCAGAGCUCCUAGAUACAUUCGUCCAUUGCAUAAAAAUUGUUGCUUGGAAUUACGGAAUAAGUGAACCUACUAUUACGAACUGAAAAUAUUUUUGUGAAGAAAAAUUGGAAGAAUAUAUUGCUCCAUCGUAUUGUAUUCUUUAAGGAAACGAAACGAAUUUAUAUGAGAAUAAUUAAUCACUAUUGUUUUAUAUAUGAGAAGAAAAACUUUUUACUUUGUUUUAUAAAAACAAUUUUUUUUUUUAAUUGGAACACAGCCAUUAAGCUAAAGAAGUUUUCUAGUUUAGAAAUGAAUUUCCUGGCAGCUAGCAAAUAAAAAUUUUAUACAGGUUUAUUGUUAUAAAUAAUCUGAUAUAUACUGUAUAAAUUCUUAUUAAUAUAAUAAUCUGUAAGAAUUGUUCUUGCUAAAGAAGGUUUACUUAAACAUAAUACUGUAUCAAACAAUACUUCAAAAAUAGUGAAAGUCUAGUUUUUAUAGUUAUGUGUAAACUAUAUUUUGUCGUUCUGUUAAAUUUUUUUCUGCAAUAUUAAGACAUUAGUUAGCGCGAAAAUCUAUAAUG